Molecule: ribosomal RNA, 468 nt
Filed under: uncultured bacterium
Lineage: Bacteria
Description: partial 16S ribosomal RNA
Rfam family: Bacterial small subunit ribosomal RNA
Source: RNAcentral
GACGAACGCUGGCGGCGUGCUUAACACAUGCAAGUCGAACGGAAAGGCCCUGCUUUUGUGGGGUGCUCGAUUGCCGAACGGGGGAGAAAAACGUGAGUAACCUCCCCUUAACUUUGGGAUAACUCCUGGAAAAUGGGGCUAUAACAGGAUAGAAGCUCUUGAUCCACGGGGGGGGUUGGAAAGUUUCGGCGGUGGGGGAUGGUUUAGCGGCUUACGAGCUGGUUGGUGGGGUAGUGGCUUACCAAGGCUUUGACGGGUAGCCGGCCUGGGAGGGUGACCGGCCACAUUGGGACUGAGAGACGGACCAGACUCCUACGGGAGGCAGUAGUGGGGAAUAUGGCACAAUGGGCGGAAGCCUGAUGCAGCAACGCCGCGUGCGUGAUGACGGCCUUCGGGUUGUAAACCGCUUUCGCCUGUGACGAAGCGUGAGUGACGGUAAUGGGUAAAGAAGCACCGGCUAACUACGUG